GAUGAACGCUGGCGGCGUGCCUAAUACAUGCAAGUCGAGCGAACAGACGAGGAGCUUGCUCCUCUGACGUUAGCGGCGGACGGGUGAGUAACACGUGGAUAACCUACCUAUAAGACUGUGAUAACUUCGGGAAACCGGUGCUAAUACCGGAUAAUAUAUUGAACCGCAUGGUUCAAUAGUGAAAGACGGUUUUGCUGUCACUUAUAGAUGGAUCCGCGCCGCAUUAGCUAGUUGGUAAGGUAACGGCUUACCAAGGCAACGAUGCGUAGCCGACCUGAGAGGGUGAUCGGCCACACUGGAACUGAGACACGGUCCAGACUCCUACGGGAGGCAGCAGUAGGGAAUCUUCCGCAAUGGGCGAAAGCCUGACGGAGCAACGCCGCGUGAGUGAUGAAGGUCUUCGGAUCGUAAAGCUCUGUUAUUAGGGAAGAACAAAUGUGUAAGUAACUAUGCACGUCUUGACGGUACCUAAUCAGAAAGCCACGGCUAACUACGUG
This 497-nucleotide ribosomal RNA is filed under the name uncultured bacterium. Its description in RNAcentral is "partial 16S ribosomal RNA". It matches the Rfam family "Bacterial small subunit ribosomal RNA", at positions 28 to 507 of the family's 1533-position model. The record is from RNAcentral.